Lycium barbarum (goji berry) is the source of this 2515-nucleotide long non-coding RNA. RefSeq lists it as uncharacterized. The transcript is spliced from 4 exons. The record is from RefSeq and is a predicted model, not a curated record. NCBI's taxonomy places the organism in Eukaryota, Viridiplantae, Streptophyta, Magnoliopsida, Solanales, Solanaceae.
UAAAUCAGAUUCCCUCUCCCUAAAAUCCCAAAUUUCUCUUCAGACCUACGGUUGUCUCCCUCUCCUUUCACCAGUGAACUGUUUUAAGGUUUAGUUUAAUUCCUUCGCUUCUGGUAUCUUUGGUAGGUAUUACUUACUCUCUCGUGAAUUAUCCAACUGCAAAGUGCGAGAAUCAGCAAGCAACCCCUAUUUUGCAAAUUGUAAGUUUCCGUGUCUUUUUCUCCCUCUCUUUGGUAUUAUUUGUAGUGUUCUAUUUCUCUAAAUUUCUGCCAAUGAAAUCAAAUAAUUAGAUGUAUCAUAUAUGUAACCUACUAGCUUAAUUUUUGAGAAAUUGAGAUUGAUCAGAGGCAACAGAGUCACAGUGAAACUCUCACGACCUAUUCAGACCUCAAGGCUUCCCUCUCAGUCUCCAAUGCAGUGAAAUUUCAAUAAGUUUUUGGACGACCCUGUCAGUUUUCCCUUCAUUUUUGCUACUUUGAAUUGUAAGUUGUUUAAUACACCUUCGUAAUACGUGUUUAAUACACAAUCAAAUUUAUCUGUUACUACGAGAACUGUCAAGUUUCAACCCUUUUGGUUCUUUGGGUAUUCGUCAAGUAUUGCUGAUUUUGUGGAGUUCAAUUUACUUAUUAUUUCCUGGGUAAGAAUCUUUUUUUUUUUUUUUUUGCUUCUACAGUUUCUUGAAUGUGUGCAUUUACACUUUAUGUUAAUUAUUAUUUCAUUUUUCAUUUUGUUUUUUCUGGUUCAGUUCAUGCUUUUCCUUUGAAUUCGUAGAUGAGGAAUCAAGUUACAUUUUUAAUUCAAGUGCUAGUAAUUAUUGGAAGUUAUAGCAAAAAGCAGUAAGUCAUAUUCUUGUAAUAAUAAUUGCUACUAAUAGAUAAUGUAGGGGAAUCCAAAUAAAUAAAUAAAUGAUUAUAAAAAGAAAGAGAACAUGCUGCUGUUAGGAGGAAUAUAUCCCAAGUUCUUGCCAGUUGCUGCAAAUCAUUUAACCAGUGUAUUAACAGAGAAACAAAAGUUAAAAAAUUAAAAUCGGAUAAGUAAAUUAAAUAGAAAAGAGGUAGUAUUUGGUUACAUAUGAAAGUGAAGUUAGUCAGUUGAAUUAGUUCUUGAUUAAGAUAGUCCAAAACAGAGUGUGGCCCGAGGACGUUUCCUUCAUAAAAUUGUCAAACUGGGUAUUUUGUUUGUACAAACUGAAAAGCUAAAAAUACUACCUUGAACAUUGUGAAGCAGAGUGCAAUUGUAUUUAUCUGUUAUGCUAACCACGCCACCUUAGUUUAUAAUUUCACCCUAAUAUUGGAAGAAGAGAUGGUAAACUUCCUCUCAAGUGGCAUGUUAAUGGUGAAAAUAUGGAACGUGUGAAUAUGAGAUACUAAGAAGUAUAUUUUUAUCACUUUAUUGUUGCUUAAUGUAUCAAAAACUUCUAUCAUACAUUUUGCAACCGAAUUGUUAAAUUUUUGUGCUUUGAUGAAUUUCUUUGUGGUGGUUCCUGAUUUCUUCUAUGGUGAACCUUUGGAUCGCGAGAAACAUGACAUACGAACUUGGCUGAAAGAUCAUGGCAUGGACAAGGGAUAUGAAGAUGCUAAAGCUGUGGUUGAAUCUUUGAAGAGUAAAGGUGUUUCUGCCAUAGCGGCAGCAGGAUUUUGCUGGGGAGGAAUUAUGUUGUUCAAUUCAUAAAAGAGUUAAGGAUACCCUAUGUUGCUGCCAUGUUGGUCUCUCAGUUUGAAGGGCAUUAUGUAUACCUCUCAAAGCAAAAGUUUAGUUGUCAUGUUAUUGUAAAGUUCCUGGAGUGUUAUGAAGGUAGCAGGUCAAGAAUCAUCAAUGAGUUAAUCUCAGAACCUCAUUUUGAUGAGUUGCUGCAAGAUACGUUUGCUAACUAUGUGAUUCAGUCUGCAAUUGACGUUACUAAGAUGCAGAUUCAAUUGCAAUCUAGAAAGUUCGUGGGGAAGCCAGCAGAAAGAUUUUGAAAAAUGUAGUCAUCAUGGAAAAAAAGAUGAUAUUAGAGACCCAAUUGGUAAAGGAAGGUUAUGUUAGGAUUUGAAUCCCAAAUCCGACUUUUGUAAGCAGGUUCUCAGGAAAGAUUGGAGGGUCACAGCUGGACCACUUAAAUACCAACCUCCUUAGACAGAACCUACUUACGCCGUGAUGUAAGCGAAGAAUAAAUAGCACACACAGAUUUAUAGUGGUUCACCCUCAAUGUGAGAGCUACGUCCACGUUGCUGCUGCAGAUCUUAUUAAAGAAGAAAUGUUACAAGCGUUUACAACACUCAACCUCACAACCGCAAUCCCAAUUUCACUUAAGAAUUUUUUUACUAAAAAUUCUCUCAAAAGACUUCUCUUACUUAGGCCUUUCACUAAGAGUAUUUCUCUUAGAUUUUUUUUCUCUCUUUGGGAUAUGUUGUCUUCUUCAAUUUUUGGUGUGUCUAGCAAAUGAGAAAGCUUCCCUAUUUAUAAGGAUGAGAUGAACCUAUUAAUGUCAUUAGUGACUUAAGUAAGCACUUGACAAUUUGUCAAAUACAAA